CCAUCACUCCACAGUCCACACAACGGCGCAGCACACAGUCCCUCCCAUCACCCUAGAGCUCGUGCUUCCGUCCAGCCGCCGGACUGCUCCCGCGCCGUCGCAAGUUGUAGUCGAAGCCACCUUCGCCAUCGUGCAGCUACCGUUUCCGCUUUGGAAGCAAGCACCGUCGCCAGGCUCGCCUCCUGCCUCCGUCGCGCAGCCUGUUCCACCGGUUAGCUCUGUUCCCCCUCUUGCUCAGGAUCUGCUCUGCUCUGUUCUUGUCGAAGACUGUUUCCAUAAGUGACCAGGCCACUGCUCUUGUCGAAGCCGGAGUGCCGGUUAUUCGCUUGGCCGCCGGAGAACCUGAUUUCGAUACACCUGCCGUCAUAGAUGAGGCUGGGAUUAAUGGUAUUCGCGAAGGAUACACACGGUACACCCCUAAUGCCGGAAAAUUUGAAUUGCGCAGAGCGAUUUGUCAUAAGUUGACGGAGGAGAAUGGAAUUACAUAUACUCCUGAUCAGAUUGUGGUAAGCAAUGGAGCAAAGCAGAGUAUUGCUCAGGCAGUACUUGGAGUUUGUUCACCCGGCGAUGAGUUGAACCACGAUUAGAUUGGUUGGACCAAUGAACUAGUGACUAGAAUGGUUUGAUGACCGGUCCGGUUCUCAGAACCUUGCUCCUUCCUCUUCCUCAGUGUCUCAGUCUCGUCAGUCGCACUCUCGCACUCAAGCUCUCGUCUCCGGUCUCUCUCACAGCCUCCGGUCUCGCAUUCAAGCUCGUCAUCGCUCUCAGUCUCCUCAUCGUCUCUCAGUCAGCGCGCGCCUUCCCUGCACUUGUCAUCGCCGGUGGCAGAAGCAGCACGUCCUGGGACUGGAUGUCAUUGUCGUAUUCUUGCUUCGAGCCUCGCGUCAGCUUCCUCCUUAUUAGAAUUAAUAGUUAGUAUUAGAAUGAUAUUUACCAAGCUAUGCCAGGUGUACAAAUGAUGAAUUAGUUAAGCUACUACUUGUAUUGCUGUA
This is a long non-coding RNA of Arachis stenosperma, 992 nucleotides long. RefSeq lists it as uncharacterized. Lineage: Eukaryota; Viridiplantae; Streptophyta; Magnoliopsida; Fabales; Fabaceae. The transcript is spliced from 4 exons. The record is from RefSeq and is a predicted model, not a curated record.